This 775-nucleotide ribosomal RNA is filed under the name uncultured Neocallimastigales. RNAcentral's name for it is "partial large subunit ribosomal RNA". It matches the Rfam family "Eukaryotic large subunit ribosomal RNA", at positions 24 to 628 of the family's 3401-position model. Lineage: Eukaryota; Fungi; Neocallimastigomycota; Neocallimastigomycetes; Neocallimastigales. The record is from RNAcentral.
GCAUCUGUGCAUGCAGCAUAUCAAUAAGCGGAGGAAAAGAAACUAACAAGGAUUCCCCUAGUAACGGCGAGUGAAGCGGGAAGAGCUCAAAUUUGAAAUCUUAAAGGGUUUCCCUUUACGAAUUGUAGUUUAAAGAAGUGUUUUCUGUUGAGGUUUUGGUAAAAGUUCUUUGGAAUAGGACAUCAUAGAGGGUGAGAAUCCCGUAUUUGACCUUUACCUUCAACUUUGUGAUACACUUUCAAAGAGUCGGAUUGUUUGGGAAUGCAGUCCAAAAUGGGUGGUAAAUUUCAUCUAAAGCUAAAUAUUGGCGAGAGACCGAUAGCGAACAAGUACCGUGAGGGAAAGAUGAAAAGAACUUUGAAAAGAGAGUUAAACAGUACGUGAAAUUGUCAAAAGGGAAGCGUUUGACACCAGUGUUGUUUUUCUGAAAAUCAAUUAAAGAACUGUUUAUGCUAAGCUGUUUAGACUUUAUCAGCUAUCUGUUUAGUUUCUGAGCUUUUCUUUAAUGCACUUUUCAGUUAACAAGUCAACAUCAAUUUCUUUUGCUGUAAAAAAGGCUUGAGGAAGGUGGCUUGAGAUUCGUCUUAAGUGUUUAUAGCCUCUUGCCUAUGCAGUCGGAGAGAUUGAGGUCUGCAGCGUAGAUCCUUCGGGGCUAAAUGCAUUUGUGCUAAGUUAUAGCAUUUUAUAGACAACUUGUUGACUAUGAUUUGUCUUGUAGCUUACUCGCUUAUGUUAUUUUACCUACGCUUAGGAUGUUGAGUCGUAGAGCACGCAG